Molecule: ribosomal RNA, 198 nt
Filed under: Streptococcus agalactiae GB00241
Lineage: Bacteria; Bacillati; Bacillota; Bacilli; Lactobacillales; Streptococcaceae
Description: partial 16S ribosomal RNA
Rfam family: Bacterial small subunit ribosomal RNA
Source: RNAcentral
UUUAAUGAGAGUUUAAUCCUGGCUCAGGACGAACGCUGGCGGCGUGCCUAAUACAUGCAAGUAGAACGCUGAGGUUUGGUGUUUACACUAGACUGAUGAGUUGCGAACGGGUGAGUAACGCGUAGGUAACCUGCCUCAUAGCGGGGGAUAACUAUUGGAAACGAUAGCUAAUACCGCAUAAGAGUAAUUAACACAUGU